GAUGAACGCUGGCGGCGUGCCUAAUACAUGCAAGUCGAGCGAACGGACGAGAAGCUUGCUUUUCUGAUGUUAGCGGCGGACGGGUGAGUAACACGUGGAUAACCUACCUAUAAGACUGGGAUAACUUCGGGAAACCGGAGCUAAUACCGGAUAAUAUUUUGAACUGCAUGGUUCAAAAGUGAAAGACGGUCUUGCUGUCACUUAUAGAUGGAUCCGCGCUGCAUUAGCUAGUUGGUAAGGUAACGGCUUACCAAGGCAACGAUGCAUAGCCGACCUGAGAGGGUGAUCGGCCACACUGGAACUGAGACACGGUCCAGACUCCUACGGGAGGCAGCAGUAGGGAAUCUUCCGCAAUGGGCGAAAGCCUGACGGAGCAACGCCGCGUGAGUGAUGAAGGUCUUCGGAUCGUAAAGCUCUGUUAUUAGGGAAGAACAUAUGUGUAAGUAACUGUGCACAUCUUGACGGUACCUAAUCAGAAAGCCACGGCUAACUACGUG
RNAcentral lists this ribosomal RNA (497 nucleotides) under uncultured bacterium. RNAcentral's name for it is "partial 16S ribosomal RNA". It matches the Rfam family "Bacterial small subunit ribosomal RNA", at positions 28 to 507 of the family's 1533-position model. The record is from RNAcentral.